Molecule: ribosomal RNA, 466 nt
Filed under: uncultured bacterium
Lineage: Bacteria
Description: partial 16S ribosomal RNA
Rfam family: Bacterial small subunit ribosomal RNA
Source: RNAcentral
GAUGAACGCUGGCGGCGUGCUUAACACAUGCAAGUCGAACGAUGAAGCCCAGCUUGCUGGGUGGAUUAGUGGCGAACGGGUGAGUAACACGUGAGUAACCUGCCCUUAACUAUGGGAUAAGCCUGGGAAACUGGGUCUAAUACCGGAUAGGAGCGUCCACCGCAUGGUGGGUGUUGGAAAGAUUUAUCGGUUUUGGAUGGACUCGCGGCCUAUCAGCUUGUUGGUGAGGUAAUGGCUCACCAAGGCGACGACGGGUAGCCGGCCUGAGAGGGUGACCGGCCACACUGGGACUGAGACACGGCCCAGACUCCUACGGGAGGCAGCAGUGGGGAAUAUUGCACAAUGGGCGAAAGCCUGAUGCAGCGACGCCGCGUGAGGGAUGACGGCCUUCGGGUUGUAAACCUCUUUCAGUAGGGAAGAAGCGAAAGUGACGGUACCUGCAGAAGAAGCACCGGCUAACUACGUG